AGAGUUUGAUCCUGGUCAGAACAAACGCUGGCGGCGUGCCUAACACAUGCAAGUCGUACGAGAAAGUCCGCUUCGGUGGAUGAGUAAAGUGGUGCACGGGUGAGUAACGCGUGGAUAAUCUACCCUUUAGUCUGGAAUAGCUUAUCGAAAGGUGAACUAAUACCGGAUCAUAUCCCGAUUUCUUCGGCGAUCGGGAUCAAAGAAGGCCUCUGCUUGCAAGCUUUCACUGAAGGAUGAGUCCGCGUACCAUUAGCUAGUUGGCAGGGUAAUGGCCUACCAAGGUUAUGAUGGUUAGCUGGUCUGAGAGGAUGAUCAGCCACACUGGAACUGAAACACGGUCCAGACUCCUACGGGAGGCAGCAGUGAGGAAUAUUGCGCAAUGGGGGCAACCCUGACGCAGCAACGCCGCGUGAGUGAGGAAGGUUUUCGGAUUGUAAAGCUCUGUCGAGCGGAAAGAAGUGCAUGGUGGUUAAUAUCCAUCAUGCUUGACGGUACCGCUAAAGGAAGCACCGACUAACUCC
This 521-nucleotide ribosomal RNA is filed under the name uncultured Smithella sp. RNAcentral's name for it is "bacterial SSU rRNA". It matches the Rfam family "Bacterial small subunit ribosomal RNA", at positions 8 to 504 of the family's 1533-position model. The record is from RNAcentral. Lineage: Bacteria; Pseudomonadati; Thermodesulfobacteriota; Syntrophia; Syntrophales; Smithellaceae.